GCUAGGCAUGGUGGUGCGUGCCUGUAAUCCCAACUACUUGGGAGGCUGAGGCAGGAGAAUUGCUUGAACCCGGGAGGCGGAGGUUGCAGUGAGCUGAGAUCACACUGCUACAUCCCAGCCUGGGCGACAGGGCAAGAUUCUGUCUCAA
Unclassified non-coding RNA from Papio anubis (olive baboon), 148 nucleotides. It matches the Rfam family "Metazoan signal recognition particle RNA". From Rfam's summary of the family: The signal recognition particle (SRP) is a universally conserved ribonucleoprotein. It is involved in the co-translational targeting of proteins to membranes. The eukaryotic SRP consists of a 300-nucleotide 7S RNA and six proteins: SRPs 72, 68, 54, 19, 14, and 9. NCBI's taxonomy places the organism in Eukaryota, Metazoa, Chordata, Mammalia, Primates, Cercopithecidae. The record is from Ensembl.